AGAGUUUGAUCAUGGCUCAGGAUGAACGCUGGCGGCGUGCCUAACACAUGCAAGUCGAGCGAAGCACUUUACUUUGAUUCUUCGGAUGAGGAGUGAUUUGACUGAGCGGCGGACGGGUGAGUAACGCGUGGGUAACCUGCCUCACACAGGGGGAUAACAGUUAGAAAUGACUGCUAAUACCGCAUAAGGCCACAGCACCGCAUGGUGCAGGGGCAAAAACUCCGGUGGUGUGAGAUGGGCCCGCGUCUGAUUAGUUAGUUGGCGGGGUAACGGCCCACCAAGACGACGAUCAGUAGCCGACCUGAGAGGGUGACCGG
Molecule: ribosomal RNA, 317 nt
Filed under: uncultured bacterium
Lineage: Bacteria
Description: bacterial SSU rRNA
Rfam family: Bacterial small subunit ribosomal RNA
Source: RNAcentral